GGUCUCGUGGUGUAGCGGUAAUCACAUCUGCCUAACACACGGAAGGUCGGCGGUUCGAGCCCGCCCGAGAUCA
Caenorhabditis remanei is the source of this 73-nucleotide non-coding RNA. The record is from Rfam. NCBI's taxonomy places the organism in Eukaryota, Metazoa, Nematoda, Chromadorea, Rhabditida, Rhabditidae.